This 433-nucleotide ribosomal RNA is filed under the name uncultured bacterium. RNAcentral describes it as "partial 16S ribosomal RNA". It matches the Rfam family "Bacterial small subunit ribosomal RNA", at positions 29 to 507 of the family's 1533-position model. The record is from RNAcentral.
AACGAACGCUGGCGGCAUGCCUAACACAUGCAAGUCGAACGAGACCUUCGGGUCUAGUGGCGCACGGGUGCGUAACGCGUGGGAACCUGCCUUUAGGUUCGGAAUAACUCAGAGAAGUUUGAGCUAAUACCGGAUGAUGUCUUCGGACCAAAGAUUUAUCGCCUUUAGAUGGGCCCGCGUUGGAUUAGCUAGUUGGUGGGGUAAAGGCCUACCAAGGCGAUGAUCCAUAGCUGGUCUGAGAGGAUGAUCAGCCACACUGGGACUGAGACACGGCCCAGACUCCUACGGGAGGCAGCAGUGGGGAAUAUUGGACAAUGGGCGAAAGCCUGAUCCAGCAAUGCCGCGUGAGUGAUGAAGGCCUUAGGGUUGUAAAGCUCUUUUACCCGAGAUGAUAAUGACAAUAUCGGGAGAAUAAGCUCCGGCUAACUCCGUG